GCCCCCUGAAUUGUAGUCUAGGAAGGCGCCAUCGGCCAAGCCCGUCGCUCAAAUCCCUUGGAACAGGGUAUCGGAGAAGGUGAGAAUCCUGUGCCGUGGCGGAGCUUGGCCGCACGAUGCGCUCUUGUCGAGUCGGGCUGCUUGGGAUUGCAGCUUGAAGUGGGUGGUAAAUUCCAUCUAAAGCUAAAUAUUGGCGGGAGACCGAUAGCGAACAAGUACCGUGAGGGAAAGAUGCAAAGAACUUUGAAAAGAGAGUUAAAGAGUGCUUGAAAUUGGCAGGAGGAAACCCGGUUGCGCGUGGCAUUUGGCGUGGUCGACUCAGCCGCGCGCGGAGAUCUGUAGGGGACCUAACGGCCUCGUGGUCAGCGCGCGCGGUGCACUUCGGCCGCGUCGGUCAGCCGCGUUUCUGUGCGGCCCAGACGGCCGCGGGCAGGGCUUCGGCGCAGCCUGCGGUUUGGGGGUCGCGCGGGAUCCCGGCUGAUGCGCACGGGCGCAACCGACCCGUCUAGAAACACGGACCAAGGAGUCUGACGCGUGUGCGAGUACUAGAGUGGCAAGCUCGAGUGCGCAAUGAAAGUGAAGGGCGUGCCCCGUCAACCGAUCUUGAUCUUCUGUGAAGGGUUUGAGUGGAGCACAUCUGUCGGGACCCGAAAGAUGGUGAACUAUGCCUGAGGAGGGUGAAGCCAGAGGAAACUCUGGUGGAGGCUCGUAGCGAUACUGACGUGCAAAUCGUUCGUCGAACUUGGGUAUAGGGGCGAAAGACUAAUCGAACCAUCUAGUAGCUGGUUCCCUCCGAAGUUUCCCUCAGGAUAGCUUGAACGCCGACGGUUUUG
RNAcentral lists this ribosomal RNA (833 nucleotides) under Haptophyta environmental samples. RNAcentral's name for it is "eukaryotic LSU rRNA". It matches the Rfam family "Eukaryotic large subunit ribosomal RNA", at positions 133 to 1003 of the family's 3401-position model. The record is from RNAcentral. Lineage: Eukaryota; Haptophyta.